GAUGAACGCUGGCGGCGUGCCUAAUACAUGCAAGUCGAGCGAACGGACGAGAAGCUUGCUUCUCUGAUGUUAGCGGCGGACGGGUGAGUAACACGUGGAUAACCUACCUAUAAGACUGGGAUAACUUCGGGAAACCGGAGCUAAUACCGGAUAAUAUUUUGAACCGCAUGGUUCAAAAGUGAAAGACGGUCUUGCUGUCACUUAUAGAUGGAUCCGCGCUGCAUUAGCUAGUUGGUAAGGUAACGGCUUACCAAGGCAACGAUGCAUAGCCGACCUGAGAGGGUGCUCGGCCACACUGGAACUGAGACACGGUCCAGACUCCUACGGGAGGCAGCAGUAGGGAAUCUUCCGCAAAGGGCGAAAGCCUGACGGAGCAACGCCGCGUGAGUGAUGAAGGUCUUCGGAUCGUAAAACUCUGUUAUUAGGGAAGAACAUAUGUGUAAGUAACUGUGCACAUCUUGACGGUACCUAAUCAGAAAGCCACGGCUAACAACGUG
This 497-nucleotide ribosomal RNA is filed under the name uncultured bacterium. RNAcentral describes it as "partial 16S ribosomal RNA". It matches the Rfam family "Bacterial small subunit ribosomal RNA", at positions 28 to 507 of the family's 1533-position model. The record is from RNAcentral.